AAUGAACGCUGGCGGCGCGCCUAAUACAUGCAAGUCGAGCGAGAAGACGUAGUAAUACGUUUGUAAAGCGGCGAACGGGUGAGGAAUACAUGGGUAACCUACCCUAGAGUGGGGAAUAACUAGCCGAAAGGUUAGCUAAUACCGCGUACGCUCCUUGGACUUCGGUUCAGGGAGGAAAGCGAUGCCGAGGGUAUCGCGCUCUUGGAUGGGGCUCAUGUCCUAUCAGCUUGUUGGUGAGGUAACGGCUCACCAAGGCUUCGACGGGUAGCUGGUCUGAGAGGACAAUCAGCCACACUGGCACUGCGACACGGGCCAGACUCCUACGGGAGGCAGCAGUAAGGAAUAUUGCGCAAUGGGCGAAAGCCUGACGCAGCGACGCCGCGUGGGGGAUGAAGGUCUUCGGAUUGUAAACCCC
RNAcentral lists this ribosomal RNA (415 nucleotides) under uncultured bacterium. RNAcentral describes it as "bacterial SSU rRNA". It matches the Rfam family "Bacterial small subunit ribosomal RNA", at positions 29 to 433 of the family's 1533-position model. The record is from RNAcentral.